Pongo abelii (Sumatran orangutan) is the source of this 148-nucleotide unclassified non-coding RNA. It matches the Rfam family "Metazoan signal recognition particle RNA". Rfam says of the family: The signal recognition particle (SRP) is a universally conserved ribonucleoprotein. It is involved in the co-translational targeting of proteins to membranes. NCBI's taxonomy places the organism in Eukaryota, Metazoa, Chordata, Mammalia, Primates, Hominidae. The record is from Ensembl.
GUUGGGCAUGGUGGUGCAUGCCUGUGGUCCCAGCUACUCUGAAGGCUGAGGCAGGAGGAUUACUUGAGCCCAGGAGUUCAAGCCUGCAGUGAGCUGUGAUCAUGCCACUGCACUCCAGCCUGGGCAAUAGAGUGAGACCUUGUUUCUA